RNAcentral lists this ribosomal RNA (1325 nucleotides) under metagenome. Its description in RNAcentral is "bacterial LSU rRNA". It matches the Rfam family "Bacterial large subunit ribosomal RNA", at positions 1561 to 2925 of the family's 2925-position model. The record is from RNAcentral.
AGUGGAUGGGGAGCAACCUAGUUGUGCGUGUGUAAAGGUAGUGCCAAGAAAAGCGAUGAUCAUGUUGAAAAUCAAUUCCCGGUACCCGAAACCGACACAGGUGGGCAAGUAGAGAAUACUAAGGGGCGCGAGGUAACUCUCUCCAAGGAACUCGGCAAAAUGACCCCGUAACUUAGGGAGAAGGGGUGCCACCGAGAGGUGGUCGCAGUGAAGAGGCCCAGGCGACUGUUUAGCAAAAACAUAGGUCUCUGCAAACUCGAAAGAGGAGGUAUAGGGGCUGACGCCUGCCCAGUGCCGGAAGGUUAAAGAAGUUGGUCAGUCUUAGGAUGAAGCUAGCGACUGAAGCCCCGGUGAACGGCGGCCGUAACUAUAACGGUCCUAAGGUAGCGAAAUUCCUUGUCGGGUAAGUUCCGACCCGCACGAAAGGCGUAACGAUCUGGGCGCUGUCUCGGAGAGAGGCUCGGCGAAAUAGGAUUGUCUGUGAAGAUACGGACUACCUGCAUUUGGACAGAAAGACCCUAUGAAGCUUUACUAUAGCUUGGAAUUGUGUUCGGGCUUCCUGUGCGCAGGAUAGGUGGGAGGCGUAGAAGGUAUUCUUGUGGGGAUACUGGAGCCAACGGUGAGGUACCACUCUCAGGAGGCUAGAAUUCUAACUUAAUUAAGGACAGUUUCAGGUGGGUAGUUUGACUGGGGCGGUCGCCUCCAAAAAGGUAACGGAGGCGUACAAAGGUUCCCUCAGACUGGUUGGAAAUCAGUCGAAGAGUGCAAAGGCAGAAGGGAGCUUGACUGCGAGAAGUACAGUUCGAGCAGGGUGGAAACACGGUCUUAGUGAUCCGACGGUGCUGUGUGGAAGGGCCGUCGCUCAACGGAUAAAAGUUACUCUAGGAUAACAGGCUGAUCUCCCCCAAGAGUUCACAUCGACGGGGAGGUUUGGCACCUCGAUGUCGGCUCAUCGCAACCUGGGGCGGAAGUACGUCCCAAGGGUUGGGCUGUUCGCCCAUUAAAGCGGUACGUGAGCUGGGUUCAGAACGUCGUGAGACAGUUCGGUCCAUAUCCGAUGUAGGCGUGAGAAUAUUGAGAGGAGCCUUCCUUAGUACGAGAGGACCGGGAAGGACGCACCGCUGGUGUACCUGUUAUGAUGCCAAUUGUAAACGCAGGGUAGCCAAGUGCGGAGAGGAUAACCGCUGAAAGCAUCUAAGAGGGAAGCCCACCUCAAGAUGAGUAUUCUGGUGUAAGGUCACGGGAAGACGACCCGUAAAUAGGCACGGGGUGGAAGUGCAGAGAUGUAUGAAGCCGAAGUGUACUAAUAGACCGUCGGCUUGACC